This 233-nucleotide ribosomal RNA is filed under the name uncultured bacterium. RNAcentral's name for it is "partial 16S ribosomal RNA". It matches the Rfam family "Bacterial small subunit ribosomal RNA", at positions 118 to 351 of the family's 1533-position model. The record is from RNAcentral.
UGAGCAAUCUGCCCUUCUCUUCGGAAUAAGCGUUGGAAACGACGUCUAAUGCCGAAUACGACCUCCUUUCGCAUGAUCGGAGGUGGAAAGCUCCGGCGGAGAAGGAUGAGCUCGCGGCCUAUCAGCUAGUUGGUGUGGGUAAUGGCCCACCAAGGCGACGACGGGUAGCCGGCCUGAGAGGGUGACCGACCACACUGGGACUGAGACACGGCCCAGACUCCUACGGGAGGNAG